Molecule: ribosomal RNA, 274 nt
Filed under: uncultured bacterium
Lineage: Bacteria
Description: partial 16S ribosomal RNA
Rfam family: Bacterial small subunit ribosomal RNA
Source: RNAcentral
AUACGGAGGGGGCUAGCGUUGUUCGGAAUUACUGGGCGUAAAGCGUACGUAGGCGGACUGAUCAGUUGGGGGUGAAAUCCCAGGGCUUAACCCUGGAACUGCCUUCAAUACUGUCAGUCUUGAGUUUGGGAGAGGUGAGUGGAAUUCCUAGUGUAGAGGUGAAAUUCAUAGAUAUUAGGAGGAACACCAGUGGCGAAGGCGGCUCACUGGCCCAUUACUGACGCUGAGGUACGAAAGCGUGGGGAGCAAACAGGAUUAGAAACCCCUGUAGUCC